CGGUCCCGGUGGCGGCCCCGGCUCCGCGCACGCGCGGCUCCCGCCCCUCCCUCGCGCACGGCCGGGCGCAGCGGCAGCAUGAAGGACCGGACCGGGGAGCUGCGCGCCGCGAAGGACAGUGAUGAUGAUGAUGAAGUCACCGUCAGCGUGGACCGGGACCGCUUCAUGGACGAGUUCUUCGAGCAGGUGGAAGAAAUUCGAGGGUUCAUUGAUAAGAUUUCAGAGAAUGUGGAGGAAGUGAAGAGGAAGCACAGUGCCAUCCUUGCCUCGCCUAACCCCGAUGAGAAAACGAAGGAGGAGCUGGAAGAGCUGAUGUCUGACAUAAAGAAGACGGCAAACAAAGUACGCUCCAAGCUAAAGAGUAUUGAGCAGAGCAUUGAACAAGAGGAAGGACUGAACAGGUCAUCUGCUGACUUGCGGAUAAGGAAAACUCAGCACUCAACGCUGUCACGCAAGUUCGUGGAGGUGAUGUCCGAGUACAAUGCCACGCAGACUGACUACCGGGAGCGCUGCAAGGGCAGGAUCCAGAGGCAGCUGGAGAUCACUGGGAGGACCACCACCAGCGAGGAGCUGGAGGACAUGCUGGAGAGCGGCAACCCAGCCAUCUUCUCCUCUGGGAUCAUCAUGGAUUCAAACAUCACCAAGCAGGCACUGAAUGAGAUUGAGACACGGCACAGUGAAAUCAUCAAACUGGAGAACAGCAUCCGAGAGCUGCACGACAUGUUCAUGGACAUGGCCAUGCUGGUGGAGAGCCAGGGCUGCUGGGCAGGGCAACGUGCACACGGUGCUGGGGAGCAGAGCAGGAAGGAGCUCACGUCUGCGUGCGUGUGGGCACGUGGGCUCUGUCCCCGUUCUGCAGGGCGAGAUGAUUGACCGCAUCGAGUACAACGUGGAGCACUCAGUGGACUACGUGGAGCGAGCUGUGUCUGACACCAAAAAAGCAGUGAAGUACCAGAGCAAAGCCAGACGGAAGAAGAUCAUGAUCAUUAUCUGCUGCGUGAUCCUGGGCAUCGUCAUCGCCUCCACCUUCGGUGGCAUUUUCGGCUAGACUCACCCCGCGGGACUGUUUGUGUGUGAUGGACGGAGCUGCUGUGCCGCGGGGCCGCAGCCGCACCGGAGCAAACCACGCAGCCCCGGAGCCUCCCAGCAGCAUUUCAGUUUCUAAUGCAUGGUUGUUUGUGA
Molecule: RNA transcript, 1182 nt
Organism: Pezoporus flaviventris
Lineage: Eukaryota; Metazoa; Chordata; Aves; Psittaciformes; Psittacidae
Gene: STX1A
Gene name: syntaxin 1A
Exons: 10
Source: RefSeq, a predicted model, not a curated record